GCGCGGAUAGGCUAAGGGCAGACCGCCCGCCAAGCGGGAAAUGGCGGUUCGAUUCCGCACUCCGCGCU
This 68-nucleotide transfer RNA is filed under the name Lachnospiraceae bacterium. RNAcentral describes it as "tRNA-Leu". It matches the Rfam family "tRNA". From Rfam's summary of the family: Transfer RNA (tRNA) molecules are approximately 80 nucleotides in length. Lineage: Bacteria; Bacillati; Bacillota; Clostridia; Lachnospirales; Lachnospiraceae. The record is from RNAcentral.